This 683-nucleotide long non-coding RNA is filed under the name Pan troglodytes (chimpanzee). Its description in RNAcentral is "long non-coding RNA NONPTRT009379". The record is from RNAcentral. Lineage: Eukaryota; Metazoa; Chordata; Mammalia; Primates; Hominidae.
CAGACACAUGGCCUUGAACUCGUAAUAACUCACGCAUGUAAGCCACAAUAACUUCAUUUGCAUGCAACCACCUUGAAUGAAUGGUCUCAGUAAAUGUGUCAUUUAUUCUCAAUAUUCUGGAGUGCUGGAAAAAAUGUGGAGUCAAAGGAUCCCUCAGUCUGCUGGUGUGACCUGGGGCACCCAUCCCUGUUCCCUCUCCUCUUACAUGGGAUAAAACCCCAGCGGAGCCGUGUCUCUGGAUCAUUGUGAUGGAUUAGGUGUUCUGCUGAGAGCUGGGCUGUCUGCUUAGAAAUCAGCCUCCAGGCCUGACUUUUGGCCUCUGCCCCGCCUGUGGAGUCGGUGCGGGCUCCAGAUUCCAGAGGCGAAGGAUACAUCCUAGUGCCAGCUCAGAUCUGAAACAGGCGUGCCCUUCGUUUUCAGCCAAUGCGGAAGAUGUCUAUUUGUGCUGCACGGCCCAGAAGGGAACUGCCAGUUCAGAAAAUGUCGGGUCAACUUGAUGCUCCCGGUUGACAUUUGGCACUGGAUUGGGGGAGCAGGAAGGAAGGGGAGGAAAAGGACGUGGAGAAGAACCUAGGAAGGAUUCGUAUUUUCGUGCUUUUCUUCUUUUCUCCUCUCCUCCUCUUCCAGGCUGCUCCAGGCUGACGGGAAGGGAAAGCCAAGUAGCUGGGUUUGAUGGGGCCCUG